Molecule: ribosomal RNA, 253 nt
Filed under: uncultured bacterium
Lineage: Bacteria
Description: partial 16S ribosomal RNA
Rfam family: Bacterial small subunit ribosomal RNA
Source: RNAcentral
UACGUACGAGGCGAGCGUUAUCCGGAAUUGCUGGGCGUAAAGCGCGCGCAGGUGGCUUGCUAAGUCGGACGUGAAAUCUCCCGGCCUAACUGGGAGGGGUCGUCCGAGACUGGCCGGCUUGAGGCUGGCAGAGGUAGGUGGGAUUCCUGGUGUAGUGGUGAAAUGCGUAGAGAUCAGGAGGAACACCGGUGGCGAAGGCGGCCUACUGGGCCAGCACUGACGCUGAGGCGCGAAAGCUCGGGGAGCGAACGGG